This 71-nucleotide transfer RNA is filed under the name Vairimorpha apis BRL 01. Its description in RNAcentral is "tRNA-Phe (GAA) (tRNA-Phe-GAA-3-1)". It matches the Rfam family "tRNA". Rfam says of the family: Transfer RNA (tRNA) molecules are approximately 80 nucleotides in length. Their secondary structure includes four short double-helical elements and three loops (D, anti-codon, and T loops). The record is from Rfam by way of RNAcentral. Lineage: Eukaryota; Fungi; Microsporidia; Nosematidae.
GGGAGAUUAGCUCAGUGGGAGAGCAUUAGACUGAAGAUCUAAGGGUCCCGGUUCAAUCCCCGGAUCUCCCA